UGUGUGGAGACCCUUCUUGAUAUUGAGCA
RNAcentral lists this non-coding RNA (29 nucleotides) under Rattus norvegicus (Norway rat). The record is from RNAcentral. Lineage: Eukaryota; Metazoa; Chordata; Mammalia; Rodentia; Muridae.